Molecule: long non-coding RNA, 622 nt
Organism: Mauremys mutica (yellowpond turtle)
Lineage: Eukaryota; Metazoa; Chordata; Testudines; Geoemydidae
Exons: 3
Source: RefSeq, a predicted model, not a curated record
CCUGCUGGCCACUGCUGGGGCACAGCACGGUGCCAGGACAGGUAGGGACUAGCCUGCCUUAGACCCACCGCACUGCCGACCGGACUUUUAACGGCCCGGUCGGUGGUGCUGACCAAAGCCGCCAGGGUCCUUCUUCGACCAGGCGUUGCAGUCGGAAACCGGAUGCCUGGCAACCGUAAGCUCUCCAGGGCAUGGAACUAAUUCAACCUGACAGCCAAAGGGUGAAGGGCUACAAACAUGGGGCUGGCUCAGCAGGGCAAAAUCUCAGGCACAGGAGCAAUAAUGGAAGCGCCUCUUCUGUGGUCCACGAAACUGACUGUUGAAAGAACGUGUAGUGGCAGAGUACAGGCAGCACAGGAGACUGCUAAGCUGGAGAACACAGCCUUUCGUCAACACUCCUAUUCUUCAUCUAGUGUUGUCCACUGGCGAGAGCUGGGAAAGGGCAACACAUAACUCUUGACUGCACCGCUUGGCUCUGUGACUUUGGCACUGUUGCCUUCAGGAGGUCCAUGAACAUCCUGUCUGGGGCAGACGCUGAGUGCCAAAGGGGUCAGUCGCACGGCCAGAGUUGGGCGUCCUGCCCAGCAGCCUGCUGCAGACAGUUCCGAAGUGAUGUUUUUCU